GGGCGAAAGGGAAUCCCGUUUUUAUUCGGGAACCUGGUUGGGGUAACGUUCGGAUCCUCGUAUCCGUCUCGGCAACGAGAAUUGGCCAUGGGAAGCUGGCGGGAGUGCCGGGAAGAGUUUUCUUUUCUGUGUAAGGGAGAUACAAACCCUGGAAUUCCUCCGCGGAGAGAUAGGGUUAAUCUUCCGAAGAGCGUUGCACUUGAGCGACGUCCGUGCAUUCUUGUCGGUCCUUGAAAACCAUGGUGAGGGCCACGUCUACUCCUCCCACCAGACCGUACCGAUAACCGCAUCAGGUCCCC
RNAcentral lists this ribosomal RNA (299 nucleotides) under Artemia sp. RNAcentral's name for it is "partial 28S ribosomal RNA". It matches the Rfam family "Eukaryotic large subunit ribosomal RNA", at positions 1592 to 1868 of the family's 3401-position model. The record is from RNAcentral. Lineage: Eukaryota; Metazoa; Arthropoda; Branchiopoda; Anostraca; Artemiidae.